UGGUGGGAUACUACCCUGGCUGUAUGACCAUUCUAACCCGCCACGCUUAGCGCGUGGGGAGACAGUGUCAGGUGGGCAGUUUGACUGGGGCGGUCGCCUCCUAAAGAGGAACGGAGGCGCCCAAAGGUUCCCUCAGAAUGGAUGGAAAUCAUUCGCAGAGGGUAAAGGCACAAGGGAGCUUGACUGCGAGACUGACAAGGCGAGCAGGGACGAAAGUCGGGCUUAGUGAUCCGGUG
RNAcentral lists this ribosomal RNA (236 nucleotides) under Listeria monocytogenes. Its description in RNAcentral is "partial 23S ribosomal RNA". It matches the Rfam family "Bacterial large subunit ribosomal RNA", at positions 2190 to 2425 of the family's 2925-position model. The record is from RNAcentral. Lineage: Bacteria; Bacillati; Bacillota; Bacilli; Caryophanales; Listeriaceae.